GAUGAAGAACGUAGCGAAAUGCGAUAAGUAAUGUGAAUUGCAGAAUUCAGUGAAUCAUCGAAUCUUUGAACGCACAUUGCGCCCGCCAGUAUUCUGGCGGGCAUGCCUGUUCGAGCGUCAUUACAACCCUCAGGCCCCCGGGCCUGGCGUUGGGGAUCGGCGGAGCCCCCCGUGGGCACACGCCGUCCCCCAAAUGCAGUGGCGGUCCCGCCGCAGCUUCCAUCGCGUAGUAGCUAACACCUCGCGACUGGAGAGCGGCGCGGCCACGCCGUAAAACACCCAACUCUUCUGAAGUUGACCUCGAAUCAGGUAGGAACACCCGCUGAACUUAAGCAUAUCAAUAAGCGAGA
This 350-nucleotide unclassified non-coding RNA is filed under the name soil metagenome. RNAcentral's name for it is "partial contains 5.8S ribosomal RNA, internal transcribed spacer 2, and large subunit ribosomal RNA". The stretch from base 1 to 120 matches the Rfam family "5.8S ribosomal RNA", at positions 35 to 154 of the family's 154-position model. The record is from RNAcentral.